Molecule: unclassified non-coding RNA, 524 nt
Filed under: Hevea brasiliensis (rubber tree)
Lineage: Eukaryota; Viridiplantae; Streptophyta; Magnoliopsida; Malpighiales; Euphorbiaceae
Source: RNAcentral
GAUUUUAUCAGUAGAAUAAUUAUUUGUUUUCAUUUCUUUUCAGUUACAAAUUUACAAGCAAUGUUGAAGAUGAUAAAUACUAAAAGAAGAGACCUUGUUUGGGUUGGUUUUGGGUUCCUCUUCUGCUUCUCCUUGGUUGACAUGAAACGGAACUUCGUGUAUAAAUUAUAAAGUGUUGUGUGUUGAAGCAGGACAGUAGCCACUAUUUCCCUUCACGCUUUCCCUUUCUCCAUUCCCAUGGCUGCUCUGGGUUUGAAGAAGCCCACAACCCAGCCCUUUUAGCUCGAGCCUCAUUUUCCCACUUUGACAGCUCUGGACGUUUGUCAUAGGCUGUGUAAUGCCAAGCAAACCCCUUUUUCAGCAUUGCUUCCUGAAUAAACUUUCCAUUACAAUACAAGUCACCAACACACCGAUUAUACCGAUCUUCACCAUACACAAGUACUCUCAAACACUUGCCUUCCACAAGCUUUGUUAGUUCUUGUUUUGCCUCUUUCCCAUAAGGCAUUGCACUUUCUGGUGCAUCU